CCUACGGGAGGCAGCAGUGAGGAAUAUUGGUCAAUGGGCGAGAGCCUGAACCAGCGAAGUCGCGUGAGGGAGUACUGCUCUCUGGGUUGUAAACCUCUUUUGUCGGGGAGCAAAAGCCGGACGUGUCCGGCUGUGAGAGUACCCGAAGCAAAAGCAUCGGCUAACCCCGUGCCAGCAGCCGCGGUACUACGGCGGAAGCGAGCGUUAUCCGGAUUAAUUGGGUUAAAAGGGUGCGCAGGGGGAUUGUUAAGUCAGCGGUAAAAUCGUGGGGCUCAACCCCAUCCAGCCGUGGAAACUGGGGAUCUAGAGUGUGCGAGAGGUAUGCGGAAUGCGUGGUGUAGCGGUGAAAUGCAUAGAUAUCACGCAGAACCCCGAUUGCGAAGGCAGCAUACCGGUGCACAACUGACGCUCAGGCACGAAAGCGUGGGUAUCGAACAGGAUUAGAUACCCGGGUAGUC
RNAcentral lists this ribosomal RNA (458 nucleotides) under uncultured bacterium. RNAcentral's name for it is "partial 16S ribosomal RNA". It matches the Rfam family "Bacterial small subunit ribosomal RNA", at positions 338 to 795 of the family's 1533-position model. The record is from RNAcentral.